GGCAAACAGCAAAACGUUGAGAUGGGUUUGUAUUGAGGGGAAUGUUGGCUGGCUCGAGGCUUUUCACAAAGGAGGUUCAUUCACAAUUGGAAGAACUAUAAGGCUUCGGACCAGGCUUCAUUCCCCUCAAAUAUGUACUUAUUUCAUGUGAUGCUGCUGCUGCCUAUUAAUUAAAUUAUUGUUCUUCAUUUGGAUUUCUAAUCAUCAUGCAUGUUCAAACUUCAAAGUUGAAAGAGGAGGUGUUGUUUUUUCUUUGUAUAAAUGUGGUUAAGGUGGUGGUUCUUGCAAAGGUUAGGUUGAGAGGAAUGUUGUCUGGCUCGAGGUCAUGUUUGGAGGAGGAGGAGUACUGAUAUCAAUUCUUUCAGUAGUGAAAGUUUCCAGUGAAGUAAAUGGAAAUUUAAUUACCCUACUCUUAACAGAAAAAUGAUUCUCGGACCAGGCUUCAUUCCCCCCAGCCAACUUUUGCUACUUGAAUUUCAUUUUGUUUCUAAUGAUCAUCAUCAUCUAUCUUCAUCGAUAUCUUGCCCCUAUUUCUCUUGGCGAACGGUGAAAAUUAUUGGGAAGGGAAACUCACAAUUUACUUUGGAAAAAGCCAUCAUUUUCAUGAAUCUGAAUGAAUGUACUUCAGUGAAAUGACAGUGAUGAGUAUUCAAUUCAAGGCAUGCACUAGUUGCUGAUGAAGAAGCAUCUGUGAAAGAGUACUCAAUAAUGAAAGAAGGGUUGAGAUGCCAUGGAUAGAGAGAGACAUAUAAGAGAUGUGCUGGAACAGUUAACGAGAAGAAGUAAGAAUCAGGAGAAGCUAGCUAGGGAUUCUUCUAUCUGUCACUCUUCCAUUAUCAUGAUGACCCAGAUAGAUAGAUAUAUAUAUCUGCAUGCAUAAGCAAUGAUGCAAACUAAACCUGGAAAAAAGAGAAAGAGAAAAUAGCUCUUCUCUUCUAUUAUUCUAUAUUUGUGUGUGUGUGUCUGAUAUGUGUGUUUUAGUGUAAUGUAUUUAUGGAGCUUUUAAAGUUGUUGAAAAUUCAGAAACCCUCUUUGGAAAAGCUUGGAU
Gastrolobium bilobum is the source of this 1048-nucleotide long non-coding RNA. RefSeq lists it as uncharacterized. The transcript has 3 exons. Lineage: Eukaryota; Viridiplantae; Streptophyta; Magnoliopsida; Fabales; Fabaceae. The record is from RefSeq and is a predicted model, not a curated record.